RNAcentral lists this transfer RNA (73 nucleotides) under Felis catus (domestic cat). It matches the Rfam family "tRNA". Rfam says of the family: Transfer RNA (tRNA) molecules are approximately 80 nucleotides in length. Their secondary structure includes four short double-helical elements and three loops (D, anti-codon, and T loops). Lineage: Eukaryota; Metazoa; Chordata; Mammalia; Carnivora; Felidae. The record is from Rfam by way of RNAcentral.
GCCUAGCUGGCUUAGUUGGUGGAGCAUGUGACUCUUGAUCUCAGGGUUGUAAGUUUGCGCCUCAUGUUGGGUG